AUUGAACGCUGGCGGCAUGCCUUACACAUGCAAGUCGAGCGGGGGAAGGUAGCUUGCUACCGGACCUAGCGGCGGACGGGUGAGUAAUGCUUAGGAAUCUGCCUAUUAGUGGGGGACAACAUCUCGAAAGGGAUGCUAAUACCGCAUACGUCCUACGGGAGAAAGCAGGGGAUCUUCGGACCUUGCGCUAAUAGAUAAGCCUAAGUCGGAUUAGCUAGUUGGUGGGGUAAAGGCCUACCAAGGCGACGAUCUGUAGCGGGUCUGAGAGGAUGAGCCGCCACACUGGGACUGAGACACGGCCCAGACUCCUACGGGAGGCAGCAGUGGGGAAUAUUGGACAAUGGGGGGAACCCUGAUCCAGCCAUGCCGCGUGUGUGAAGAAGGCCUUAUGGUUGUAAAGCACUUUAAGCGAGGAGGAGGCUACUUUAGUUAAUACCUAGAGAUAGUGGACGUUACUCGCAGAAUAAGCACCGGCUAACUCUGUGCCAGCCGCCGCGGUAA
RNAcentral lists this ribosomal RNA (501 nucleotides) under uncultured bacterium. RNAcentral describes it as "partial 16S ribosomal RNA". It matches the Rfam family "Bacterial small subunit ribosomal RNA", at positions 30 to 523 of the family's 1533-position model. The record is from RNAcentral.